RNAcentral lists this ribosomal RNA (441 nucleotides) under uncultured bacterium. RNAcentral's name for it is "partial 16S ribosomal RNA". It matches the Rfam family "Bacterial small subunit ribosomal RNA", at positions 338 to 795 of the family's 1533-position model. The record is from RNAcentral.
CCUACGGGGGGCAGCAGUGGGGGAUAUUGCACAAUGGGGGAAACCCUGAUGCAGCGACGCCGCGUGGGUGAAGAAGUAUUUCGGUAUGUAAAGCCCUAUCAGCAGGGAAGAAAGACGACGGUACCUGACUAAGAAGCCCCGGCUAACUACGUGCCAGCAGCCGCGGUAAUACGUAGGGGGCGAGCGUUAUCCGGAUUCACUGGGUGUAAAGGGAGCGUAGACGGCCGUGCAAGCCAGGAGUGAAAGCCCGGGGCCCAACCCCGGGACUGCUCUUGGAACUGUGCGGCUGGAGUGCGGGAGGGGCAGGCGGAAUUCCUGGUGUAGCGGUGAAAUGCGUAGAUAUCAGGAGGAACACCGGCGGCGAAGGCGGCCUGCUGGACCGCGACUGACGUUGAGGCUCGAAAGCGUGGGGAGCGAACAGGAUUAGAUACCCGAGUAGUC